GGAUUACUCUGAUGAUGCUGUUUAUCAAUGGAUCAAUCAGUUUACCACAGUAUUGAUUAAUAAUGUGUUAUGGUUUCUUUUUCUUGUAGGUUUUGGUUUGAUGACUGCAGAAAUAUUUUCUUUCAGAACGUCUUCUGUCUGGUUUCAUUUAAUGUUAGAGUAAUCAAUUUAAGAUUCAGACAAAUUUAACAACAUAUCUGUAAAAAUGUGAUAAAUUAUAAACUAUUGUGACACAAUUUCAUAAAUAUAAUAUAAUAUAAUUUAUUUUAUGAAAAACAGGAACUGUUCAUGUUGAGUUUGUUGUGUUCAAAGUCAGAGAGCCGUGUCUCUCUACAGUGAGAGGUUUUUGUACAACGACUCCAUCAGUUUGUAUCACUGUGGUGGACUUUCGGUGGAGGAACCAGACUGGAUGUUAACUUGGGUCGAGUCGUCCCCACCCUGACGGUGCUGCCCCCCUCCAGAGAAGAGCUGCAGCAGGGGAAGGCCACGCUCAUGUGCCUGGCCAACAAGGGCUUCCCCUCAGACUGGAGUCUGGCCUGGAAGGUGGACUGCAGCAGCAGCAGCAGCAGCAGCUGGGAGGAGAGCAAGAGCCCCGGGGUGCUGGAGAAGGACGGCCACUACAGCUGGAGCAGCACCCUGAGGCUCCCUGCAGACCAGUGGAGCAAGGUGGGCUCUGUGACCUGUGAGGCCACCCAGGGCUCCCAGACUCCGCUCUCAGAGACAGUGAGGAGAGACCAGUGUUCCCAGUCCUGACCUGACUCACUGGAACUCUGCUACUGGUUUCACUCUGCUACUGCUCUCACUGCACUCUGUAACCAUCUCUGUCUUUUAUUGGACAUGUUUCAAUAACAAUAUUUACCAGCUUGUUGCAGCGGUUCAAUAUUAUUUCACUGAUCCAGAUAAUAAAGACGUGUUCAUCAAA
Molecule: non-coding RNA, 922 nt
Organism: Sebastes umbrosus (honeycomb rockfish)
Lineage: Eukaryota; Metazoa; Chordata; Actinopteri; Perciformes; Sebastidae
Source: the annotation of a RefSeq genome assembly